This 522-nucleotide ribosomal RNA is filed under the name uncultured bacterium. Its description in RNAcentral is "partial 16S ribosomal RNA". It matches the Rfam family "Bacterial small subunit ribosomal RNA", at positions 899 to 1397 of the family's 1533-position model. The record is from RNAcentral.
ACUCAAAUGAAUUGACGGGGACUUGCACAAGCAGAGGAUUAUGAGGUUUAAUUCGAUGACAAACGAAGAACCUUACCAGGGUUGGAAAUCUACACGACAUCUCUAUGAAAGUAGAGCUCCGCAAGGCGAGUAGACAGGUGUUGCAUGGCCGUCGUCAGUUCGUGGUUUGAACUGUUCCCUUAAGUGGGGUAACGAACGCAACCCACGUUGCCAGUUAUAUAUGUCUGGCGAGACUGCCCCGUGACUUGAGUACGAAGUAAAUUUUACUUCGCGCGUAAGUUACGGGGAGGAAGGCGUGGAUGACGCCAGGUCAGCAUGGCCCUUUGAUACCCUGGGCCACACUCAUAAUACAAUCGCCGCUACAACACGACGCAAUAUCGCAAGAUGGAGCAAAUCGUUAGAAAAGCGGCGCCAGUUCGGAUCGGAGUCUGCAACUCGACUCCGUGAAGCCGGAUUUGCUAGUAAUCGCGGGUCAGCCAUACCGCGGUGAAUACGUUCUCAAGUCUUGUACACACCGCCCGU